AAGUCGUAACAAGGUUUCCGUAGGUGAACCUGCGGAAGGAUCAUUAUAGUAUUCUAUUGCCAGCGCUUAAUUGCGCGGCGAUAAAACCCUUACACACAUUGUCUUAGUUUUUUUUGAACUUUGCUUUGGGUGGUGAGCCUGGCUUACUGCCCAAAGGUCUAAACACAUUUUUUUUAAUGUUAAAACCUUUAACCAACAGUCAUGAAAAUUUUUAACAAAAAUUAAAAUCUUCAAAA
Molecule: unclassified non-coding RNA, 236 nt
Filed under: plant metagenome
Description: partial contains small subunit ribosomal RNA and internal transcribed spacer 1
Rfam family: Eukaryotic small subunit ribosomal RNA (bases 1-46)
Source: RNAcentral